RNAcentral lists this ribosomal RNA (492 nucleotides) under uncultured bacterium. RNAcentral's name for it is "partial 16S ribosomal RNA". It matches the Rfam family "Bacterial small subunit ribosomal RNA", at positions 30 to 507 of the family's 1533-position model. The record is from RNAcentral.
AUUGAACGCUGGCGGCAUGCUUUACACAUGCAAGUCGAACGGUAACAGGCCUUCGGGUGCUGACGAGUGGCGAACGGGUGAGUAAUGCAUCGGAUCGUACCCAGAGGUGGGGGAUAACGCAGCGAAAGCUGUGCUAAUACCGCAUGUGAUCUGAGGAUGAAAGCGGGGGACCGAGCAGCAAUGUUUGGCCUCGCGCCUUUGGAGCGGCCGAUGUCGGAUUAGCUAGUUGGUGGGGUAAAGGCCUACCAAGGCGACGAUCCGUAGCUGGUCUGAGAGGACGACCAGCCACACUGGGACUGAGACACGGCCCAGACUCCUACGGGAGGCAGCAGUGGGGAAUUUUGGACAAUGGGCGCAAGCCUGAUCCAGCAAUGCCGCGUGCGGGAAGAAGGCCUUCGGGUUGUAAACCGCUUUUGGCAGGAACGAAACGGUGUCCGCUAAUACCGGGCGCUAAUGACGGUACCUGCAGAAUAAGCACCGGCUAACUACGUG